This 260-nucleotide ribosomal RNA is filed under the name uncultured bacterium. RNAcentral describes it as "partial 16S ribosomal RNA". It matches the Rfam family "Bacterial small subunit ribosomal RNA", at positions 28 to 284 of the family's 1533-position model. The record is from RNAcentral.
GAUGAACGCUAGCGGCAGGCCUAAUACAUGCAAGCCGAACGGCAAGUCUUUUAGCAAUAGAAGACCUAGAGUGGCGUAAGGGUGCGUAACACGUAUGCAAUCUGCCCUCAACAGGAGGAUAGCUCCCCGAAAGGGGAAUUAAGCCUCCAUAGGAUCGUAAUGUGGCAUCACAUAGCGAUUAAACUACCAGGGGUUGAGGAUGAGCAUGCGCAUGAUUAGUUAGUUGGCGGGGUAACGGGCCCACCAAGACGAUGAUCAUU